Molecule: long non-coding RNA, 239 nt
Organism: Rhinopithecus roxellana (golden snub-nosed monkey)
Lineage: Eukaryota; Metazoa; Chordata; Mammalia; Primates; Cercopithecidae
Exons: 3
Source: RefSeq, a predicted model, not a curated record
GUCUGCGGUGUAGGGGUAGUGGGCCGAAGUAUCUUGUUAAAAGGGAAGGACUUACACAUUUCAGCAUUCAUGUACAUUUGUUAGACCACAAGAACAUGCUCUAUUACAUCUUGGUCUUGGAGUUCCGCCUCAAAGAAGAAAUGGCAGAAGAGCACAAGGUAGCUGAGGUACAUGAGUGAGGACCAGAAGAUGUUCUGAAAGUGAGAGUAACACUGGUCAUGCUGCAUCCAGUAGAAGAC